GGAGAGUUGUCCGAGAGGUCGAAGGUGCCGCACUCGAAAUGCGGUUUGCGUCGAAUAGACGCAACGUGGGUUCGAAUCCCAUGCUCUCCGC
RNAcentral lists this transfer RNA (91 nucleotides) under Roseburia faecis. RNAcentral describes it as "tRNA-Ser(cga)". It matches the Rfam family "tRNA". Rfam says of the family: Transfer RNA (tRNA) molecules are approximately 80 nucleotides in length. Their secondary structure includes four short double-helical elements and three loops (D, anti-codon, and T loops). Further hydrogen bonds mediate the characteristic L-shaped molecular structure. tRNAs have two regions of fundamental functional importance: the anti-codon, which is responsible for specific mRNA codon recognition, and the 3' end, to which the tRNAs corresponding amino acid is attached (by aminoacyl-tRNA synthetases). tRNAs cope with the degeneracy of the genetic code in two manners: having more than one tRNA (with a specific anti-codon) for a particular amino acid; and 'wobble' base-pairing, i.e. permitting non-standard base-pairing at the 3rd anti-codon position. The record is from RNAcentral. Lineage: Bacteria; Bacillati; Bacillota; Clostridia; Lachnospirales; Lachnospiraceae.